This 460-nucleotide ribosomal RNA is filed under the name uncultured bacterium. RNAcentral describes it as "partial 16S ribosomal RNA". It matches the Rfam family "Bacterial small subunit ribosomal RNA", at positions 338 to 795 of the family's 1533-position model. The record is from RNAcentral.
CCUACGGGGGGCAGCAGUGAGGAAUAUUGGUCAAUGGACGAGAGUCUGAACCAGCCAAGUAGCGUGAAUGAUGACUGCCCUAUGGGUUGUAAACUUCUUUUAUAUGGGAAUAAAAUGUUCCACGUGUGGGAUUUUGUAUGUACCAUAUGAAUAAGGAUCGGCUAACUCCGUGCCAGCAGCCGCGGUAAUACGGAGGAUCCGAGCGUUAUCCGGAUUUAUUGGGUUUAAAGGGAGCGUAGGUGGAUUGUUAAGUCAGUUGUGAAAGUUUGCGGCUCAACCGUAAAAUUGCAGUUGAAACUGGCAGUCUUGAGUACAGUAGAGGUGGGCGGAAUUCGUGGUGUAGCGGUGAAAUGCUUAGAUAUCACGAAGAACUCCGAUUGCGAAGGCAGUUCACUGGACUGCAACUGACACUGAGGCUCGAAAGUGUGGGUAUCAAACAGGAUUAGAUACCCGAGUAGUC